RNAcentral lists this ribosomal RNA (880 nucleotides) under uncultured bacterium. RNAcentral describes it as "bacterial SSU rRNA". It matches the Rfam family "Bacterial small subunit ribosomal RNA", at positions 8 to 913 of the family's 1533-position model. The record is from RNAcentral.
AGAGUUUGAUCCUGGCUCAGGACGAACGCUGGCGGCGUGCCUAACACAUGCAAGUCGAGCGGGGAACUUCGGUUCUCAGCGGCGGACGGGUGAGUAACACGUGGGUAACCUGCCUUGUAGAGGGGGAUAGCCUUCCGAAAGGAAGAUUAAUACCGCAUAACAUUAUGCUUUCGCAUGAGAGUAUAAUCAAAGGAGCAAUCCGCUACAAGAUGGACCCGCGGCGCAUUAGCUAGUUGGUGAGGUAACGGCUCACCAAGGCGACGAUGCGUAGCCGGCCUGAGAGGGUGAACGGCCACAUUGGAACUGAGACACGGUCCAGACUCCUACGGGAGGCAGCAGUGGGGAAUAUUGCACAAUGGGCGAAAGCCUGAUGCAGCAACGCCGCGUGAGUGAUGAAGGCCUUCGGGUUGUAAAGCUCUGUCUUCUGGGACGAUAAUGACGGUACCAGAGGAGGAAGCCACGGCUAACUACGUGCCAGCAGCCGCGGUAAUACGUAGGUGGCAAGCGUUGUCCGGAUUUACUGGGCGUAAAGGAUGCGUAGGCGGAUGCUUAAGUCAGAUGUGAAAAUCCCGAGCUUAACUUGGGAACUGCAUUUGAAACUGGGUAUCUAGAGUGCGGGAGAGGAGAGUGGAAUUCCUAGUGUAGCGGUGAAAUGCGUAGAGAUUAGGAAGAACACCAGUGGCGAAGGCGACUCUCUGGACCGUAACUGACGCUGAGGCAUGAAAGCGUGGGGAGCAAACAGGAUUAGAUACCCUGGUAGUCCACGCCGUAAACCAUGAAUACUAGGUGUGGGAGUUGUCAUGACUUCCGUGCCGCAGUUAACACAAUAAGUAUUCCGCCUGGGGAGUACGGUCGCAAGAUUAAAACUCAAAGGAAUUGA